RNAcentral lists this long non-coding RNA (783 nucleotides) under Monodelphis domestica (gray short-tailed opossum). RNAcentral's name for it is "lncRNA (ENSMODG00000035948.2)". The record is from RNAcentral. Lineage: Eukaryota; Metazoa; Chordata; Mammalia; Didelphimorphia; Didelphidae.
GAACUCUAGAUUCCACAUUGACCUCUCUUACUGGGUUUUUGUGAUACUUCUUCCUCUAACCCUACUUAUAUAACUAUUACUUAGUCAAUAUGUGCAGAACUCAUUCUCUUACCCCCAACACACCUGUUUACCCAACUUCCCAACUACUAUCAAAGGUAAAACUAUUCUUUAAAGUUCAGUGUCAUCUUUGAAUCCAAAUUAGCAUUCAUUCCACCUACCCUGUCUGUUAAGAAUUUUUAUGAUAUAUACCUUAAUAAUGAUUCUUAUUUGUAUAAACCUACAAAUAUUACAAUUAUGCAUAUUAAAUAUGUCUAUUUACAUAUUAUUCACUGUGCAUAUCUAUUAGAUAUUAUGCAUAUAUAUAAUUUUAUAGGUAUAUAUAUAAUUGCCAAUUAAGGGAAUCUAGAUUUUCUAAUAGGCUUUUUUUUUUAUCUUUCAGACUCCAUCUUUCCAGUUGUACUAGAGAUGAAAACUUGGUGAAUUAUAGUGGGGGGAAAUGUAUCGAUGUUGCACCAGGAAGUAAGCAAAAGAAAGAGACUGAAUCUUGAGCCCCUCUCCUACACUACUUCCUGUUUCUUCCUUACCAACUGUCUGGAUGAAGGUUUUUCUCACAGAUGGAAGGAGCUGGAGGGCUCUGGAGUGAGUUCAGCUUUGGAAACUGAAUUGGAGGUCAGGAGUCAGAGCUGGCCGUCUGAAGGAGUUGGAGCUUGGACUAGUUGGACUGGCUGGGUCUCUGAACUUAAUUGGAGUUUUGCUUGGGACAAAAUCUUCUGGUGGAGAUAA